This 525-nucleotide ribosomal RNA is filed under the name Escherichia coli. RNAcentral's name for it is "partial 23S ribosomal RNA". It matches the Rfam family "Bacterial large subunit ribosomal RNA", at positions 1 to 565 of the family's 2925-position model. The record is from RNAcentral. Lineage: Bacteria; Pseudomonadati; Pseudomonadota; Gammaproteobacteria; Enterobacterales; Enterobacteriaceae.
GGUUAAGCGACUAAGCGUACACGGUGGAUGCCCUGGCAGUCAGAGGCGAUGAAGGACGUGCUAAUCUGCGAUAAGCGUCGGUAAGGUGAUAUGAACCGUUAUAACCGGCGAUUUCCGAAUGGGGAAACCCAGUGUGUUUCGACACACUAUCAUUAACUGAAUCCAUAGGUUAAUGAGGCGAACCGGGGGAACUGAAACAUCUAAGUACCCCGAGGAAAAGAAAUCAACCGAGAUUCCCCCAGUAGCGGCGAGCGAACGGGGAGCAGCCCAGAGCCUGAAUCAGUGUGUGUGUUAGUGGAAGCGUCUGGAAAGGCGCGCGAUACAGGGUGACAGCCCCGUACACAAAAAUGCACAUACUGUGAGCUCGAUGAGUAGGGCGGGACACGUGGUAUCCUGUCUGAAUAUGGGGGGACCAUCCUCCAAGGCUAAAUACUCCUGACUGACCGAUAGUGAACCAGUACCGUGAGGGAAAGGCGAAAAGAACCCCGGCGAGGGGAGUGAAAAAGAACCUGAAACCGUGUACGU